AGUCUUAUAAUCAAAGUAUGAUUUCAAAUUGCAAGUUUGAACGUAGGGUUAACCUUAAGGCUU
This 63-nucleotide transfer RNA is filed under the name Staphylinoidea sp. 9 KM-2017. Its description in RNAcentral is "tRNA-Cys". Lineage: Eukaryota; Metazoa; Arthropoda; Insecta; Coleoptera. The record is from RNAcentral.